This 262-nucleotide unclassified non-coding RNA is filed under the name Sistotrema sp. Its description in RNAcentral is "partial contains 5.8S ribosomal RNA, internal transcribed spacer 2, and large subunit ribosomal RNA". Lineage: Eukaryota; Fungi; Basidiomycota; Agaricomycetes; Cantharellales; Hydnaceae. The record is from RNAcentral.
AACGCACAUUGCGCCCUUUGGCAUUCCGAAGGGCAUGCCUGUUCGAGCGUCAUUAUCACCCCUCAAGCUUGGCUUGGUGUUGGACUUUUUCUACGGGCCUCCGGGCCCGGGUCCCAAAGAUAAUGACAGGCUUGACGGAAGCCUCGGUACAAUGAGUCUUGCACAAGGCACGUAUCGCAGUUUGUUUCUGUCCGGCUUGGUCUUAACCACAAAUUUUUCUAAGGUUGACCUCGGAUCAGGUAGGAAUACCCGCUGAACUUAA